GACGAACGCUGGCGGCGCGCUUAACACAUGCAAGUCGAACGGAAAGGCCUGCUUUCCCUUGUGGAUUGCGGGUACUCGAGUGGCGAACGGGUGAGUAACACGUGAGUGAUCUGCCCCCAACUUGGGUAUAAGCCUGGGAAACUGGGUCUAAUUCCCGAUAGGACUGCAGGGUGGUGCCUGUGGUGGAAAACGAUUUUCUAGUGGUUGGGGAUGAGCUCGCGGCCUAUCAGCUUGUUGGUGGGGUAAUGGCCUACCAAGGCGGCGACGGGUAGCCGGCCUGAGAGGGUGGACGGCCACAUUGGGACUGAGAUACGGCCCAGACUCCUACGGGAGGCAGCAGUGGGGAAUAUUGCACAAUGGGCGGAAGCCUGAUGCAGCGACGCCGCGUGGGGGAUGACGGCCUUCGGGUUGUAAACUCCUUUCGACCGCGAGGAAGCCACCUGGUUGGAAGGGUGGCGACGGUAGUGGUAGAAGAAGCACCGGCUAACUACGUG
This 494-nucleotide ribosomal RNA is filed under the name uncultured bacterium. Its description in RNAcentral is "partial 16S ribosomal RNA". It matches the Rfam family "Bacterial small subunit ribosomal RNA", at positions 28 to 507 of the family's 1533-position model. The record is from RNAcentral.